This 275-nucleotide ribosomal RNA is filed under the name uncultured soil bacterium. Its description in RNAcentral is "partial 16S ribosomal RNA". It matches the Rfam family "Bacterial small subunit ribosomal RNA", at positions 26 to 285 of the family's 1533-position model. The record is from RNAcentral.
AGAAUCAACGCUGGCGGCGUGCCUCAGACAUGCAAGUCGAACGCGAAAGUUCCCUUCGGGGGGCAAGUAGAGUGGCGCACGGGUGAGUAACACGUAGGUAAUCUACCUUUGGAUGGGGAAUAACAACCGGAAACGGUUGCUAAUACCGCAUAAUGCAGCGGCACCUAAUGGUGACAGUUGUUAAAGCGGGGGAUCGAAAGACCUCGCGUCUGAAGAGGAGCCUGCGGCGAUUAGCUAGUUGGUAGGGUAACGGCCUACCAAGGCUACGAUCCGUA